ACUGCGGAUCCUUGACCCACUGAGCGAGGCCAGGGAUUGAACCCCCCUUCUCAGGGACACUAUGUUGGGUUCUUAACCCACUGAGCCACAAUGAGAACUCCCACAAGGUCUUCUUCUAAAGACACGAGUGGUUGAAUUCAGGGCCCUCCUAAUCUAGGAUGACGUCAUCGUAAUGAAAUUAUUUACAUCUGUAAAGACCCUAUUCUGAGUAAGUUCACAUUGUGAAAUUCAAGGUCAACAUGAAUUUUGGAGGGAAACUAUUUAAUAAUUCACGACAGCCUCCAGCCCAUUUACCCUCAGAAACAUCAGUACAAUUCAUCAGAACGUAAUGCUAAUAAUAAGGCCCAGGCUCCAUGUUUCAUUCCAGGUACUGAGCAGGUCAUUUUACCUGGCUCUAGGCUGACAGCUGCAUACGUACCUUGAAAUUUUAUACAGUUACUUAAAAAGGGACUCAGACAAGAACUGGGAUGAAAUAACACAAAUCCACCCUUAGAGCUACGGAAGACCCCAAAGUUCGUGCCUACACAAGGGUUGGUCCAUAAGGGCAUUUUCAUCUAUAGUCCCUGGAAUACACUGGUACACGUAACAACGCGGCUUAUGGCAAAGGUGAUUGGACCACAGUGGAUAUUUUACAUCAUAACAUUGUGUUCUUUUUAUGACAUGGACAGUACAAUGCCUUCUCUGGCUACCUUCUGUUGCUGGACGAUACAAAUUCUGACACUCUGUCUGCUUUUUAGUUUGCUCUGAAACUUGGUGAACCAUCAGCUUUAGUGGCUUGUGCAUGUGUACCGGAGAUGAAAAUGAUGAGCAGUAGUUUGAGUUUGUACAGAACUUCCUUUCUGGAAUCUUGUAUUUUUGGCAGGUGUGUGGAAGGACUGGGGGGAAUUACGUGGCAUCGAAUAGAAUUUCAGCAAAGGACCAGCGACUCCAAUCAUGUAUUUUUAUGCAUAGAUGAAGACACUUAUUCUUCAAAAGUAUACCUGGAAGACAGACUGCAGUGGCUGACCUGGUUUUCUUCCCUCACUUGUGUCAUCUGAUACCAGAAGUCCGUCUCUUUCUUCGUUUACCAAGUGGAUGUUUGUCUGCAGGGCAAGCAUAUGCAUUUCAGGAAGUGAGCUGUGAAGAAUGUAGCAAGUCCACAUCUGUUCAGCUGGUGGUGCAGCAGCCCUGGAAUCAGCCCCUGUCCCUGGGGCCACCUCAUCCACCCAGUGCUGGAGCUGGACCGCUUGAGCCUUUCUGCCAGUCAAAGGUCAUGGUUAGAAUCUCUCACUUUAUUUAUUUAUUGGUUUCCAACUUUUUUUUUUUUUUUUUGGCCAAGCCUGCGGCAUGUGGCAGUUCCCAGGCCAGGGAUCAAACUGAAGCCACAGCAGCAACUUGAGCAACUGCCGUGACAAUGCCAGAUCCUUAACCCUCUGUGCCACAGGGGAACUUCCUUUCAACAUAUUGCACUGUAAAAUUUUCAAACACACAGGAAAAUUGGAAGUCAUGUACAAAGAACACCCAUCUACCCACCACACAGAAUCUAAAAUUAACAUUUUGCUAUCCUGGAUUGAUCGUAUAUCUACCCGUCCCUUUACCCAUCCUCCGGCCAUCUUUUAAACAUUUCAAAAUAAGUGGCUGAUUUCAGACACUUCCUUCUAAAUAAUUCUGCCUACAUAGCAUUAGCUGUUUACAGUUCUUGUUGGGGUUGAAUCUUUUAACAUGAGUGUUCUUCUUUUAUAAAAUUUAUGAUUAGCUGCUCUACCUAGUGUUUGGUAUGGUUAUGUGGUUAAUGUGGGCCUCCCCUUCCAAGGCAAAGGGACUGUGCUGUUUUGUUCACCAGCAAAACCGGAUGACCCGGAGAUGCUGAGUAUAUAGUUCAUUUGUCACGGAACAUGUGGGAAGGCAGAAAGAAAUGGGUGGAAGAUGGAGCUACAGAAACGGAAAGGAAAGGGAACUAUGUCUUCUCCAGGCCAGACCGUUGGUGGUACUGGGGCUGGUUAAAGCCCUUUUGGGAGAUGGAGCAGGACAUGCUUGCUGAGGAAACUGCCAUUUUAUGUUGGUUCAAUUAAGAAAGUAAAAUGAAGUACUGUGGGUAUCUUCACGGAUGGUUCUACUAUGAGUAAGUUCCUAGGGUUCUGGCUGUUUAUUUGGUAAGGAUGCACAUAGUACCUCCGUUUGUAAUUUAGACAUGUCUCCUGUCUCAACUCCAGGCUCCGUUUGUAAUUUGGACAUGUCUCCUGUCUCAGCUCAAGGCUCUGUUUGUAAUUUGGACAUGUCUUCUAUCUCAACUCCAGCUCAACCAGCUGGAGAUAAAACUUCUGAUGAAAAACUCAUGAGUCAUGGGCCAGAGAUAUUGACCUCAUAUUUGACACAUGAAAAUAGAAUCUCAUUCUCUCCUUCUCAAUUAUGGGGAACUUUCUUUCCCACCAUGACUCCUCUUUGGCCAUCCCUCCAGUUCUUGGUGAUACCAUCUCUGAACUAAGAUUAUGUCUUUUUUUUUUUUUUUUUUUGUCUUUUUGCCAUUU
Molecule: non-coding RNA, 2507 nt
Organism: Sus scrofa (pig)
Lineage: Eukaryota; Metazoa; Chordata; Mammalia; Artiodactyla; Suidae
Source: RefSeq, a predicted model, not a curated record